Branchiostoma belcheri (Belcher's lancelet) is the source of this 570-nucleotide long non-coding RNA. RefSeq lists it as uncharacterized. NCBI's taxonomy places the organism in Eukaryota, Metazoa, Chordata, Leptocardii, Amphioxiformes, Branchiostomatidae. The transcript is spliced from 3 exons. The record is from RefSeq and is a predicted model, not a curated record.
AGGCUCUACAGUCGGCGGCGUGCUCAUGGAUAAAAUUGGGUUCCCCUGGGCCUCUACAAGUAUGUCAGGAGUGUGUUUACUACAGGGGUGCAUCAUGGUGGUAUUUUAUGUCGUGAAUAUGCGAAGGAAAAAGUUAAGCUUAAGCAGAAGUGAAGAAGCCAAAGAAGUCGAAGAAGAAAUCACGCGUAAGCCUAUAUCUAACGACAAGACUUACGGGGCUCUCUUAUAACAUCUUGAUUUUAGGACAUGAUAUUAUCCAUACUAUCAAAUGGAAUUUAUUACAAAACCCCAUUAUUAUGUAACUUAUGUCAACUCGCAAGAAAAUCUUAAGUCAUUUCGCUUAGAAUAAUUACUCAAAGACAUCGAUGAAGUAUUACUCAAAGACAUCGACUCUUUCCUUUUUAUACUUUUCUUGCAACAUGUAUCGUUUUAAACUAUUUGUACUAGUAAUGCAAUGCUGCUUCGCUACGGCUUGACUCAGCUCUCAAGUUUGAUUUUCGUUGUGUUUGUUACCAUGUCUCAAUUUUUGUUUGUCUGCUCUUGUAUGUAAUGUGGGCCAGGGGGCCUGAA